CCUACGGGGUGCUGCAGUGGGGAAUAUUGGACAAUGGGCGAAAGCCUGAUCCAGCCAUGCCGCGUGUGUGAAGAAGGCCUUCGGGUUGUAAAGCACUUUCAGUGGGGAAGAAAGCCUUGGGGCUAAUACCCUCGAGGAAGGACAUCACCCACAGAAGAAGCACCGGCUAACUCCGUGCCAGCAGCCGCGGUAAUACGGAGGGUGCGAGCGUUAAUCGGAAUUACUGGGCGUAAAGCGCGCGUAGGCGGUCUGGUAAGCCGGUUGUGAAAGCCCCGGGCUCAACCUGGGAACGGCAUCCGGAACUGUCAGGCUAGAGUGCAGGAGAGGAAGGUAGAAUUCCCGGUGUAGCGGUGAAAUGCGUAGAGAUCGGGAGGAAUACCAGUGGCGAAGGCGGCCUUCUGGACUGACACUGACGCUGAGGUGCGAAAGCGUGGGUAGCAAACAGGAUUAGAUACCCCUGUAGUC
RNAcentral lists this ribosomal RNA (465 nucleotides) under Vreelandella stevensii. Its description in RNAcentral is "partial 16S ribosomal RNA". It matches the Rfam family "Bacterial small subunit ribosomal RNA", at positions 338 to 795 of the family's 1533-position model. Lineage: Bacteria; Pseudomonadati; Pseudomonadota; Gammaproteobacteria; Oceanospirillales; Halomonadaceae. The record is from RNAcentral.